Molecule: ribosomal RNA, 279 nt
Filed under: uncultured bacterium
Lineage: Bacteria
Description: partial 16S ribosomal RNA
Rfam family: Bacterial small subunit ribosomal RNA
Source: RNAcentral
UGCCAGCAGCCGCGGUAAUACGGAGGGUGCGAGCGUUAAUCGGAAUUACUGGGCGUAAAGCGCACGCAGGCGGUUUGUUAAGCUAGAUGUGAAAGCCCCGGGCUUAACCUGGGAACUGCAUUUGAUACUGAGUAACUAGAGUGUGGUAGAGGAGAGUGGAAUUUCAGGUGUAGCGGUGAAAUGCGUAGAUAUAGGAAGGAAUACCGGUGGCGAAGGCGGCCUCCUGGACCAAUACUGACGCUGAGGUGCGAAAGCGUGGGGAGCAAACCGGAUUAGAUA